UACAGAGGUGGCAAGCGUUGUUCGGAAUUACUGGGCGUAAAGGGCGCGUAGGCGGCCUUGUCAGUCAGACGUGAAAUCCCCAGGCUUAACCUGGGAACUGCGUCUGAUACUACAAGGCUGGAGUUCGGGAGAGGAAUGUGGAAUUCCAGGUGUAGCGGUGAAAUGCGUAGAUAUCUGGAGGAACACCGGUGGCGAAGGCGGCAUUCUGGACCGAAACUGACGCUGAGGCGCGAAAGCCAGGGGAGCAAACGGGAUUAGAAACCCCCGUAGUCC
Molecule: ribosomal RNA, 273 nt
Filed under: uncultured bacterium
Lineage: Bacteria
Description: partial 16S ribosomal RNA
Rfam family: Bacterial small subunit ribosomal RNA
Source: RNAcentral